GUACACUCCUGCGGGAGGCAGCAGUGGGGAAUUUUGGACAAUGGGCGAAAGCCUGAUCCAGCAAUGCCGCGUGAGUGAAGAAGGCCUUCGGGUUGUAAAGCUCUUUUGUCAGGGAAGAAACGGUGAAAGCUAAUAUCUUUUGCUAAUGACGGUACCUGAAGAAUAAGCACCGGCUAACUACGUGCCAGCAGCCGCGGUAAUACGUAGGGUGCAAGCGUUAAUCGGAAUUACUGGGCGUAAAGCGUGCGCAGGCGGUUUUGUAAGUCUGAUGUGAAAUCCCCGGGCUCAACCUGGGAAUUGCAUUGGAGACUGCAAGGCUAGAAUCUGGCAGAGGGGGGUAGAAUUCCACGUGUAGCAGUGAAAUGCGUAGAUAUGUGGAGGAACACCGAUGGCGAAGGCAGCCCCCUGGGUCAAGAUUGACGCUCAUGCACGAAAGCGUGGGGAGCAAACAGGAUUAGAAACCCGUGUAGUCCCA
This 475-nucleotide ribosomal RNA is filed under the name uncultured organism. RNAcentral's name for it is "partial 16S ribosomal RNA". It matches the Rfam family "Bacterial small subunit ribosomal RNA", at positions 331 to 797 of the family's 1533-position model. The record is from RNAcentral.